This 812-nucleotide ribosomal RNA is filed under the name uncultured bacterium. RNAcentral describes it as "bacterial SSU rRNA". It matches the Rfam family "Bacterial small subunit ribosomal RNA", at positions 1 to 806 of the family's 1533-position model. The record is from RNAcentral.
UAGAGUUUGAUCCUGGCUCAGGAUGAACGCUAGCUACAGGCUUAACACAUGCAAGUCGAGGGGAAACGGCAUUGAGUGCUUGCACUCUUUGGACGUCGACCGGCGCACGGGUGAGUAACGCGUAUCCAACCUUCCCAUUACUGUGGGAUAACCUGCCGAAAGGCCGACUAAUACCGCAUAGUCUUCGAUGACGGCAUCAGAUUUGAAGUAAAGAUUUAUCGGUAAUGGAUGGGGAUGCGUCUGAUUAGCUUGUUGGCGGGGUAACGGCCCACCAAGGCGACGAUCAGUAGGGGUUCUGAGAGGAAGGUCCCCCACAUUGGAACUGAGACACGGUCCAAACUCCUACGGGAGGCAGCAGUGAGGAAUAUUGGUCAAUGGACGGAAGUCUGAACCAGCCAAGUAGCGUGCAGGAUGACGGCCCUAUGGGUUGUAAACUGCUUUUGUAUGGGGAUAAAGUCAAUCACGUGUGAUUGUUUGCAGGUACCAUACGAAUAAGGACCGGCUAAUUCCGUGCCAGCAGCCGCGGUAAUACGGAAGGUCCAGGCGUUAUCCGGAUUUAUUGGGUUUAAAGGGAGCGUAGGCUGGAUAUUAAGUGUGUUGUGAAAUGUAGACGCUCAACGUCUGACUUGCAGCGCAUACUGGUUUCCUUGAGUACGCACAACGUUGGCGGAAUUCGUCGUGUAGCGGUGAAAUGCUUAGAUAUGACGAAGAACUCCGAUUGCGAAGGCAGCUGACGGGAGCGCAACUGACGCUUAAGCUCGAAGGUGCGGGUAUCAAACAGGAUUAGAUACCCUGGUAGUCCGCACAGUAAA